CACAUUUGCAUUUUUUUGGAUUGUCAUCAGUCUCAUUGUGCCAUGUUUCCAAUCUGCACGUGUGCGGAUGUGCAACCGGGAGACACAGACAGGCACCAAGAGCCAGUAAUGAAAAUCCCACCUUCUCCUUGUAAGCAAACCUUAUCCAAGGACCCAGGACACUUGCUUGACCCAAUUAUGCAGAAACUCCACUGCUUCUUCCUCCUCCUGAUAUGCUGUGAGAGAGGAAAGGAAGAGGGGCCGACAGAGAAGGGGUGUGGUGAGCUCAGACAACUGUGAGUGGAAUUGCUGAGUCAUGUGGCAAACUACCAGUUCUGUUGAACCUCAGGGCCAUCAUUCUGUUCAUGUCAGCUCGUUGUAGAACCACAUCGAUGAAGACCAAGAUGGUAAAGAUGAAAAAUUGUAGCUAACAUUUACUGCACAUUUACUACAAGCCAAGCAUUGCACUAUGAAGUUUAAGUGCAUUAUUCAUUAACCCCUUCAAUAAAAUUUGUAAUUUUCAUUUCAGAAGCAAAUAUUCGUGUUGUACAAAUUUCUGAUUGCCCUAAAUGUAGAGAGACUGAUGGGGAAAGUAUGAUGGGUUUGAUUUUUAUAUCAAAUCAUCAGGCAUGGAGAAAUAUCUUUUAGAAGUGUU
RNAcentral lists this long non-coding RNA (634 nucleotides) under Homo sapiens (human). RNAcentral's name for it is "non-protein coding lnc-CLDN23-8:2". The record is from RNAcentral. Lineage: Eukaryota; Metazoa; Chordata; Mammalia; Primates; Hominidae.